Lolium perenne is the source of this 5040-nucleotide non-coding RNA. Lineage: Eukaryota; Viridiplantae; Streptophyta; Magnoliopsida; Poales; Poaceae. The record is from RefSeq and is a predicted model, not a curated record.
UCGCUCCUCACCCGGGACGCAAUCCUCACGCUCGCGCAGCCCGCCUCCAUCUCCACAUUCCGCCGCCCGCCCGCCGCCCCCUCCUCCCUUUGGCAGUAGAGAGCAGCUGCCAACAGCAUCCCCACAUCCCUCGCCAAGGCCUCCGCGCGGCCAGGUUCUCACGGUGCCGUCGCCUCCACAGCCCCCGACCACCGACCUCUCGACCACCCCAUCUCCCGGCUUCUCGAUCUGAUCAACGCCUUCCUGGACAGGAGCUCGCCCCAGCCUCCGUACAGGCCGAACUUCCGCCGGCCUGUGCAGGAGCUCCCGGUGGCAUGCUCAUCUACUCGACGCCGGCCUCCCGAUCUGCUCGCCACCGGCCUGUGCAGGAGCUCACCGGCGGCAUGCUCAUCUUCUUGUUAUUUUUUCAGAAUCUAAUUGCACCCGGAUUGGCAAGAGACAUAAUAAUCUCCCAUCGUCUGAAUCUUUCAUCUUUUAAAUCGGGAAGCACCUUGCUAUUAUUUUGGGGUAAUCUGAAUUGUUCAUCUAUCUGUAAUCUUUGCACACUAAGGUCUGUAGUUUUACAUAUGAUGUGCACAUAUGAUUUGUGUACUUGAGUAGCACCACAUGAAUAUAUCCGACAAACUGUUGGUCUGCUAUGCAGUUGAAGAUAUGUUGGGUUUUAUUUCUUAAGAGUAUUGAUUCGUUUGUGUCAGGUUUAGAUGUAUACAUAGGCUUCCCCUUAAUUUAUACAAUUUGGUAUUCCUUAAAUCACUUAUUAUAUGGUGAAAAUCACUAGAAUUGUGUAAGGAUCUGGUAUCCUGCAUGCAUGGAUUAGUUGCCAUAUUGAUCAGUUUUCUUCUCUUCCGUUUUUUGAAGAUUUUUUAACCUUUGUUAAUGCGAGCUGGUACAUAUGUUCAACUGACCCAUUUCAAAAAUAGCUACCACCUACUCUUAUCCUUUAUUUGCCCUAAUUGGUUGAAAUUCUUUAAUCUAUGGCAGGCCAUACUUUUAAUUCAUGUGCCUACUAGAUUUAGGAGUUUUAUAAUAGAAGGUUCUUCUUACUUAAGUAAUAAUUCUCACCUUUAUGUCAUUGUUUCAAUCUAUGGCGGCUGUAGCGGUGUCGACGUCGGUGGCUGGCUCGCCCAGAUCAGACCUGGAGGACCACGGACUUGGAGGCCAUGCACGAUGCCGUGGUUGCAGCUAGAACGUGAGGAUGCAAAUGUGCGAGCCUGCAUGACACAGGUGAACUCUAGGCUCACCCGGUGCGUGUGUCUUGGCAAGUCAGCUGUUGGCGGUGGUCAUCAACUCCUCUACACCUCCACAUGAGACAUGCCGCAGGUCGACUCAAUCCAUGGUAGAUACUGUCAAGCCGAGGCAACCGCCCAUGCCCACCACCGAGGCCCUGUCGCGCCUUAUCCGAGAGGACGAUGCUGGUGCCGCCGAAGUGGAGUAGAAUGGCAUUUGUGCCACUCCCAUCACCUAAUCCACGCCCCCAUUUGGCUCUCAUGAUUUACUAUGAUUCAAAGUUGAGUGAACUCGUUGGCGUGCUUGCCUGAAACCUAGCUCAGAUUUCUGACAUGUGAUUGUGAAGCCGGAUGCAGACGUGGCAGGGCCAUAGUGUAGGAGCCAGGAAUCAAUCCGGCCUCAUAUGGAUCCUACAGCGAUGACAAGGUCCAUAGUGCACGAGUUGAGAUUGUCAACACCGCUUCCCUAUCACCGAACAUGGCGUAUCAGGUCAUCUAGCACCUCUCCAACACCUGCUUUAUAUAAUUAUCUUUUGCCUUUUUUAUAGACUUAUUGCUCCUUACGUUUUACUAAAAAUGUAAAAUAGUUAGCUAAACCUUGAAAUAAUAGCCAACACCUUAUUUUUCCCAAUUACAGAAUUAAAAGAUUCAUUUUUUACUAUUCCCGAAUGUGAAGUGCCAUGAUUAUCUUAUUUCAAAAUAUUUUCUAUUUGAUUUGCCUAGAUUUUCAUAGCAUAACAGACACUGAUUGGAAGUAAGAAGCUAAAAAUUGGACACCUGUACAUUACCAACUCGUAAAUUACUGCAUGGUGAUGGAGUUUGUUUCGGGGCAAUAGGUCCAAUAUCAUAUCCACUUAUUGUUUUUUCACAAAAAAUGUUGUUUGUUGGUUGCAUUUCUAUUCCUGACUACAGGUUAGGUAAAUUAUGUUUAUGACUCGCUCUCCGAGCCAUUGAGAUACUUGCACAACUGAAGGAUCAAAGGAGUAUACUAAUCAUUGCCACUGAUACAAAUUUUGGAAUGUGUACUUGCAUAAUAAACAAUAUAGUGCACUUUGACUUGAAAAGUGAAAGUUUACUUGUCAAUUUGAGGUAUCGUCAACCCCCAAUAUGCAAGGUAAGAAGCACAAUUCUUAUUAUUUUGUCCUAUUGUUUGUUUUGCACCGUGUUGCUAGACUAUUGCUUCUUCUCUUAUGUGUGCUAUUUCUAUGUUUGGGAAUCCAUACUAUAUAAUAUUGACUUGACUUACCAAAUUGGACACCAGAUAGUGAUAUUUUUUUAGCAUCCUAUCCCUCAUACUUGCAGUCUGCUCCUUGCUACACAUAGUGCUUUUUAAGAUAAUCAUAUUAACAUUUGCUUCGGCUGCUACAUAAUUGUUGAUAGAACUUGACAUUCAUGUAGUCCAGAAUGUACUCCUGCUUACGCAAUUGAUGAGUUCAUCUUGAAAAUACACCUAUGAUUUAGAUUUACCUUAUGGACACCUUUGUUGACAGUGGAAUGAACAUAUGUACGUUCGAGCUCAUCACAUAUGAAGAACUAUAUGCAGAUUCACAUUGUGGUGUUAUUAUUGGUGGGUAGAAAUCAGCCAUGAUGUGAGCCAUCAUAAAAGACGUGGCAGGGCCAUAGUGUAGGAGCCAGGAAUCAAUCCGGCCUCAUAUGGAUCCUACAGCGAUGACAAGGCUAAACAGAAGUAUCGUCGGCACUGUAGAAUAUCAGUUUACCUAUAAGAGAUCUUUGGAUUUUUUGAGGGGUUAUGGUGUUUUGCGAAUUAUGGUUGGAUUAUUACUGUUCGUGUUGUACCACUCCAAAACGCAUGUGUGAAUAACAUUUUACUGUCUGAGUUCUGAAACAUCGGUUCCUUGUGUGCAUGGACGUCUUCCUCCCCUUCCGCUGUAGAAGCUUUUAGUAUGCUUCACAUUUUUGAAGGGCAUGCAUUUAUUUUUCCUGUACUGUUAGUACCUUCCAGCGGUAGGUUAAUUGUAGUUGGUAUUUAUAAUCAAUUGUCUGCAUCGAAUUAUUUAUUUGUUCAGGACCAUGAAGCGCCAAAUGAUGUAUUUAAUCAACGUAAUGGCAAAUGCCAUUUUCCUUGGCUACCAAACAGCUUAUGCUCUAUAUGCUCUCAUUAAUAUGCUUUCAUCUCAUGUCUCAUUUUUUUUUAUGUUGAAUCUGUUUUCAGCUUCAUAGUAAUUUGGAAUCGCUGAAUGCCAAACUCAGCCAGCAUGCCUAAUAAAGCAUAAAGCUCUUAUUUUCUACUGUUAGCACUGUCUAUUGAUGUCAGGUCCAUAGUGCACGAGUUGAGAUUGUCAACACCGCUUCCCUAUCACCGAACAUGGCGUAUCAGGUCAUCUAGCACCUCUCCAACACCUGCUUUAUAUAAUUAUCUUUUGCCUUUUUUAUAGACUUAUUGCUCCUUACGUUUUACUAAAAAUGUAAAAUAGUUAGCUAAACCUUGAAAUAAUAGCCAACACCUUAUUUUUCCCAAUUACAGAAUUAAAAGAUUCAUUUUUUACUAUUCCCGAAUGUGAAGUGCCAUGAUUAUCUUAUUUCAAAAUAUUUUCUAUUUGAUUUGCCUAGAUUUUCAUAGCAUAACAGACACUGAUUGGAAGUAAGAAGCUAAAAAUUGGACACCUGUACAUUACCAACUCGUAAAUUACUGCAUGGUGAUGGAGUUUGUUUCGGGGCAAUAGGUCCAAUAUCAUAUCCACUUAUUGUUUUUUCACAAAAAAUGUUGUUUGUUGGUUGCAUUUCUAUUCCUGACUACAGGUUAGGUAAAUUAUGUUUAUGACUCGCUCUCCGAGCCAUUGAGAUACUUGCACAACUGAAGGAUCAAAGGAGUAUACUAAUCAUUGCCACUGAUACAAAUUUUGGAAUGUGUACUUGCAUAAUAAACAAUAUAGUGCACUUUGACUUGAAAAGUGAAAGUUUACUUGUCAAUUUGAGGUAUCGUCAACCCCCAAUAUGCAAGGUAAGAAGCACAAUUCUUAUUAUUUUGUCCUAUUGUUUGUUUUGCACCGUGUUGCUAGACUAUUGCUUCUUCUCUUAUGUGUGCUAUUUCUAUGUUUGGGAAUCCAUACUAUAUAAUAUUGACUUGACUUACCAAAUUGGACACCAGAUAGUGAUAUUUUUUUAGCAUCCUAUCCCUCAUACUUGCAGUCUGCUCCUUGCUACACAUAGUGCUUUUUAAGAUAAUCAUAUUAACAUUUGCUUCGGCUGCUACAUAAUUGUUGAUAGAACUUGACAUUCAUGUAGUCCAGAAUGUACUCCUGCUUACGCAAUUGAUGAGUUCAUCUUGAAAAUACACCUAUGAUUUAGAUUUACCUUAUGGACACCUUUGUUGACAGUGGAAUGAACAUAUGUACGUUCGAGCUCAUCACAUAUGAAGAACUAUAUGCAGAUUCACAUUGUGGUGUUAUUAUUGGUGGGUAGAAAUCAGCCAUGAUGUGAGCCAUCAUAAAAGGUAUAUGCGCAGAAGUAUGAUGUGAACGGUUCUUCUGUUCGCAGGUGGAAUUGUGAGCUCGCUCUCUCGACCACGCGUGGGUCUACUGGGAUGGGAAUAAUUUUUUUUUCCAGUUGCAUGCAUUUUGGGGAAAAGAGAAAUAUGGGUGACCAUUAAGCCGCACAUAUUGAGAAAAUGAGUUUAUUAAGUGUUUACACCAUAUCAUGUGACUCUUUCCGAAUGGUUGUUGAUUAAACCAUGUAACAUAUAUAGUUGUUGAGAUGUAUAGUUGUUGAGAUGGCAAUCAAGAUACGCUUAUGCAAACCUGUGGAAUAGUAAACAAUUGAUCUUCAUGUAGAAUCAUUCGUACUCUGCUAGAAU